GUGACUGGAAGCCAUUCUACUAUUAGAUCUGAGAGAAAAGUGCAUUAUUAAAAAACUGAUGACAAAGAGAUGAUUUUUGGGGAGUUGUAUUCAUGGCAUCUAUGUCCUGGUUUCCAGGGCAAGGUUUAAUGAGACCUAUUCAUCAAAAUCCCAUGUAUGAAGGCUGCAGACAAGCUGUGAUAAGUGGGGCAAUAGAAGACUCUUGGGGAAAGAUUGUGCUAUUCAAAUCCUUCUGUGGUUCCUCUUCUGAAGAACUCACAGAACUUCAGCUGCUCGGUGCCUUUUCUGCAGCUUUUAAAUCAGCUCUCCGCUUGGAAGCAAGACAAGAUCGCUCAUCUCUGUGCUGGUGAUUGCUUUGGAGAUAUUGUAGUCCCACACUUAAAAUAUGAAAUUUAUUUGAUUAUAAAGGAUAUUAUUAUAUAUGCAUACCUAUGUAGAUAUAUGCUAGGUAAACAUUCCUUUUCCCUGCUUGAGAGAAUUUAAUAAUUACCAGAUGAGAAUGAUACCAUGCAUUUCUUUCAUUAUUAACAUUCAAAUAGUGUAGCUCUGAUUUAAUGUUCUAAGAUAUCUUUUUGUUCUUUGCCUUUUCCUAGGCUGACAAUACAAAGUAAAAUCACUUCUUAAAUCUUAAAGCCUUGUGAAUCUUAAUUUUAACUGUCUUCCAUAGUUCUGAGAGGGAGGGAAUGAGCAUUUCAUUUUACUGAGGCUUUAUUGUUGACUCUUAAAACAGAAGACAGAAGCUUGCUACAGCGUUACCCAGAUGUAUUUAGCUUUGACUUAUAAGUCCAAACCCAG
This 795-nucleotide long non-coding RNA is filed under the name Parus major (Great Tit). RNAcentral's name for it is "lncRNA (ENSPMJG00000002560.1)". The record is from RNAcentral. Lineage: Eukaryota; Metazoa; Chordata; Aves; Passeriformes; Paridae.